GUCACCUGGAGAUCUUGUUAGGAUGCAGGUUCUGAUUCAGCAGGUCUGGGGUGGGGCCUAGGGAUCUGCAUUCCUAACAAGCUCCCCAGUGAUGCUGA
RNAcentral lists this microRNA precursor (98 nucleotides) under Camelus bactrianus (Bactrian camel). Its description in RNAcentral is "mir-544 microRNA precursor family". It matches the Rfam family "mir-544 microRNA precursor family". RNAcentral also lists the same sequence under 2 other names. The record is from Rfam by way of RNAcentral. Lineage: Eukaryota; Metazoa; Chordata; Mammalia; Artiodactyla; Camelidae.